GUCAAGAUGGCUGAAUUGGUCUAAAGCGCCAGUUUUAGGUACUGGUUCGAAAUUCGGAUCACAUUUUUGACG
Non-coding RNA from Glycine max (soybean), 72 nucleotides. The record is from Rfam. NCBI's taxonomy places the organism in Eukaryota, Viridiplantae, Streptophyta, Magnoliopsida, Fabales, Fabaceae.